GUAGGUGGCAAGCGUUGUCCGGAAUUAUUGGGCGUAAAGCGCGCGCAGGCGGUCCUUUAAGUCUGAUGUGAAAGCCCACGGCUCAACCGUGGAGGGUCAUUGGAAACUGGGGGACUUGAGUACAGAAGAGGAAAGCGGAAUUCCAAGUGUAGCGGUGAAAUGCGUAGAGAGUUGGAGGAACACCAGUGGCGAAGGCGGCUUUCUGGUCCGUAACUGACGCUGAGGCGCGAAAGCGUGGGGAGCAAACAGGAUUAGAUACCCUGGUAGUCCACGCCGUAAACGAUGAGUGCUAAGUGUUAGGGGGUUUCCCGCCCCCCUUAGUGCUGCAGCUAACGCAUUAAGCACUCCGCCUGGGGAGUACGGCCGCAAGGCUG
Molecule: ribosomal RNA, 374 nt
Filed under: uncultured organism
Description: partial 16S ribosomal RNA
Rfam family: Bacterial small subunit ribosomal RNA
Source: RNAcentral